This 422-nucleotide ribosomal RNA is filed under the name Nylanderia flavipes. RNAcentral's name for it is "partial 16S ribosomal RNA". Lineage: Eukaryota; Metazoa; Arthropoda; Insecta; Hymenoptera; Formicidae. The record is from RNAcentral.
GGUUUUUUGAUAAAUAAUUUAAAAUUAGUUCUGCUCAGUGAUUAUUAAAUAGCCGCAGUAUCUUGACUGUGCAAAGGUAGCAUAAUCAAUUGUUUUUUAAAUGAAAACUGGAAUGAAGGAAUUGAUGAGAUUAAAACUGUUUAAUAAAUAAAUUUAAAAUUUAAAUUUUAAGUUAAAAUUCUUAAAAGAAAUUAUGGGACGAGAAGACCCUAUAGAAUUUAAUAUAAAGUUUAUAGUUAUUUUAUUGAUAAUUAAAUAUAAGUAACUUUAAUAAAUUUAUAUAACCAUAAUUGAUGAAAAAUAUAUAGAAUUAAUUACCUUAGGGAUAACAGCGUAAUAUUUUUAGAAAGAUCAUAUUGAUAAAAAUGAUUGCGACCUCGAUGUUGAAUUAAAAUGAAAAUUAAAUGGAGAAGUUUAAUAUU